This 460-nucleotide ribosomal RNA is filed under the name uncultured Porphyromonadaceae bacterium. Its description in RNAcentral is "partial 16S ribosomal RNA". The record is from RNAcentral. Lineage: Bacteria; Pseudomonadati; Bacteroidota; Bacteroidia; Bacteroidales; Porphyromonadaceae.
GACUACUGGGGUAUCUAAGCCUGUUUGAUCCCCACGCUUUCGUGCAUCAGCGUCAGUUGUAGCCCGGUAAGCUGCCUUCGCAAUCGGGGUUCUGUGUUAUAUCUAUGCAUUUCACCGCUACACAACACAUUCCGCCUACCUUAUCUACUCUCAAGAAUAACAGUUUCAACGGCAAUUUUACAGUUAAGCUGCAAACUUUCACCACUGACUUAUUAUCCCGCCUACGCACCCUUUAAACCCAAUAAAUCCGGAUAACGCUCGGAUCCUCCGUAUUACCGCGGCUGCUGGCACGGAGUUAGCCGAUCCUUAUUCGCAGAGUACAUACAAAACAUCACACGUGAUGCACUUUAUUCCCCUGCAAAAGCAGUUUACAAUCCAUAGGACAUUCUUCCUGCACGCGACUUGGCUGGUUCAGACUCUCGUCCAUUGACCAAUAUUCCUCACUGCAGCCUCCCGUAGG